AAUAGAUACCCGGGUAGUCCACGCCGUAAACGAUGGAUACUAGCUGUUUGGGCGCAAGUUUGAGUGGCUAAGCGAAAGUGAUAAGUAUCCCACCUGGGGAGUACGGGCGCAAGCCUGAAACUCAAAGGAAUUGACGGGGGCCCGCACAAGCGGUGGAGCAUGUGGUUUAAUUCGAUGAUACGCGAGGAACCUUACCAGGGCUUAAAUGUAGAUUGACGUAUUUGGAAACAGAUAUUUCUUCGGACAAUUUACAAGGUGCUGCAUGGUUGUCGUCAGCUCGUGCCGUGAGGUGUCAGGUUAAGUCCUAUAACGAGCGCAACCCCUGUUGUUAGUUGCCAGCGAGUAAUGUCGGGAACUCUAGCAAGACUGCCAGUGUAAACUGUGAGGAAGGUGGGGAUGACGUCAAAUCAUCACGGCCCUUACGUCCUGGGCCACACACGUGCUACAAUGGCCGGUACAGAGAGCAGCCACUUAGCGAAUAAGGAGCGAAUCUAUAAAGCCGGUCACAGUUCGGAUCGGAGUCUGC
This 526-nucleotide ribosomal RNA is filed under the name uncultured bacterium. RNAcentral's name for it is "bacterial SSU rRNA". It matches the Rfam family "Bacterial small subunit ribosomal RNA", at positions 777 to 1308 of the family's 1533-position model. The record is from RNAcentral.